Molecule: long non-coding RNA, 3814 nt
Filed under: Sus scrofa (pig)
Lineage: Eukaryota; Metazoa; Chordata; Mammalia; Artiodactyla; Suidae
Description: lncRNA (ENSSSCG00060075378.1)
Source: RNAcentral
AUCCGUGGCAUAUGGAGGUUCUCAGGGUAGGGGUCAAAUCAGAGCUACAACUGCUGGCCUCCACCACAGCCACAGCAACAAAGGAUCUGAGCCGCGUCUCCACAUCUCACGGCAACACCAAAUCCUUAACUCACUGAGCGAGUCCAGGGAUCAAACCCACAACCUCAUGGUUCCUAGUCGUAUUUGUUUCCACUGUGCCACAAAGAGAACUCCUUGUUCUUCUAUUCUGAUCCAACAUUUAGCAUAUUACAAAUGGGGAGUUCCCCUUGUGUCUCAGCAGUAACAAACUCAACUAGUAUCCAUGAGGAUGCGAGUUCAAUCACUGGCCCUGAUCAGUGGGUUAAGGAUCCAGGGUUGCCAGAGCUGCAGUGUAGAUCAUAGACACAGCUUGGAUCUGGCGUUGCUAUGGCUGUGGCGUAAGCCAGCAGCUGCAACUCCAACUCAACCCCUAGCCUGGGAACUUCCAUAUGCUGUGGGUGUAUAAAAAGACAAACAAACAAACAAACAAAACAACUAAAAAGAAUAUUACAAAUGGAUGUUGAGAUGGAUGGCAUGUGGGCAUCCAUGGGAAGAAAUUUUACCAUUUUUGAAAAUGGAUUUUAAAGCACUGCUUCCUGGAUCCAUCACCACCUCCUUGCCUACUGCUUCAUUUAUACAGUAUUUAAAAGUAUUCAAAAAAAUUAAGUCCUCAUCAUUUCCUGGGCUUUACCACUGUUCUCUUAAAACCUACUACAUGGAAGAUGGGCUCAGAAUGUCAAUUGAGGAAAAGGAAAGAAAUGGCAUCUGCAUGUGAUGGUUUCUCAUUUAGCAGGCACAAAGAAUGCACCAAGAACUUUUAUGAGAAUGGCGAGUCCUAAUUUUAUUUUCAUAACAACUCUAUGAGGUAAGGACCUGUUAUUACAUCCCUUUAGAAAUAACAAAAUUGAGGACUAUAAGCUGUCAGACAACCUGUUCACAAUUCCUAACUAGUGACUAGUUUGCCAGACUUGAACCAGUAGGAUGUUCCAUCCUAUAAAAAAAGUAGUUUGUGAGCAGGAACCACUCCAUUACCCAUAUUAGGGCCACACUUUCCAUCAUAAAAAUGAGAGUGGAAGGGCAAGAAUUCACCUUAGAAUUCCAGGGUGCUCGUCUGAAUUCUAGAGACUCAGUUAAGACAUGUUCACAUAGUAAGACUUUCUUAUGUGAUUAUGAAUUUCGAUGUGAUAUGGAUAAACCCAGGAAAAACUACUGCCAUAGAGACUUCUGUGAGAGUUUAAAGAAGAGUGAAUGAAAUAAGAAGACAGUGUCCAGCUUGGGAUCUACCCCAAUGCUUCCAAGAGAUGAACACAUUUGACACCGUACCAUAUCAUCAUCCACAAGUGCCACCAAUGUGAGGGGAUACAAAUCUACACUAGAUUGAUCUCCUUAGCCAAGAAUUCAAAGCCCUCAGCAUGAUCCUAGCCUAUCUUUCAGCCACAUUAUCUCCACCUUUUGAUUUUUGGAUAAAAAAUAUGAUCCAAGGAGUUCUCUUGUGGUACAGUGGGUUAGAGAUCCACCGUUGUCACUGCAGCGGCUUGGGUGGCUCCUAUAGCUCGGGCUAGAUCCCUGGCCCAGAAUCUUUCACAUGGUAUAGACACAUUUACUACAUUUUUUAAUUAAACUUUGCUAGUUAGAUGUAAUAUAAAGAGAAUUAAAAGGCUAAGGAACUCUAGAAAAAUAUUUGCCACCAAAAUGGAGUCAAAGGACUAAGAAUAUUAAAACUUAAAAAAGCUUCUAUGAACUAACAAGAAAAACAUUAAUACCCUAAUAAAAUAAUAGCCAAAGACAAGGAUAGACAAUUCACAAAAGGAGUUAAAUGUUUACUAAGGUGUUUACUAAGCAUGAGGGAAAAAAAAGAAUGGGACCCCUUUGUAGAAAGAUUCUUUUAAAAAAUUAUAUCUUUAGCAACGAAACUCUACCAACUGCCAAAAUCUUGAAUCUAGUAACCAAUCUAAACUACUAAUAGUAACCAAACUAAACUACUAAUGUCACCACCAUAUUUUAAGUCCUUUUACAGGGCAAACAUGAUAUCCUUACCACAAACUUGAGCAAAGUAAAAUAAACCUGCAAGAUAAAAAUAAAGUAGAUUAUUCCCUCCACUUUCAGGGAGAGUAAUUAGAUAGCAUCAAAUGUCUGGGAGAAAAUACUGCGAUAUCUGACAUUUCUGAAAUCUUCAACAACUUUGGAGUGGGGUACUCUAAGACAGAGCAAACUGAAAAAUUAAAAUUUUUCAUGGUGUAGAAGGAUCUUAGAGAGCAUCGUUUUGUGAGUGCAUGAGAUGAACACUUUUUGGUUACUGAUUAGUCUGCUGAGCCAGAAUUCUAAGCUCAUGGGUUCCAAACUUGCAUAACUUACUUGUAUAUGAUAACCGGACAUUAGUCAACGACUGAAGUGUCAUUUAUGAUUUCUAAUACAGGAAAAUCAUAUGCAUGUAUAACCAUCCUGAAUGUGAUAUUAUUUUUUAAUCUUCCAAAUCUCCCUCCUCUUUCUUUCUCCAUACAUCCCCAUCCCCCUUCCUCUCUUCCACCUCUAUUCACACACACACACACACACACACACACACACACACACNAGGCUUGAUAUGGGAUCUCAGUUUCCAGACCAGGCCAUAGCAGUGACAAUGCCAAAUCUUAACCAUUAGACCACCAGGAACUCCCCUAACACAUUUUUCUAAUAAAAGGCCUAGGGUAACAUUCUCUCUAGAACAGAAAUUAAAGCAAACACGUCUUCCUUGGACAUCCCUAAAAAGCGUCUGGGGACUGACUGUUACUCCCAAAUGAUGAUGGGAGUCCUGUCUUCCUACUAACCACACCCCUUCCAGAAGGAACAAAGAGGAGAAGUCACAUCCCAGGCACCAGAUCAGUCCUGAGCACAGGGAAGUGACAGCGGGCAUCCCCAGAACAUUCGCCCAUCUGAACCUGACGUCAUUCAGCCUCUCCACACAAAGAUCUUCAGGGCAGCAUGGCAUCUGCAUUAUGGCAGCUCCAAUCUGUUCUGAAUGCAAAAGCAAAACAAACUUUUGCAAACACCACCAAUUAUCCAGGUAUUUUUAGUCAGCCUCCUUGUCACCCAACCCUUAAGGUGGGCAUGAGUCAAUUCUGAUAGUUCUUAGAACUGUGUCAUCAGGAUGCAGGCUUGGCCCAACACGACGCAGCAUUGUUCCCAAUUACUCAUAUUCCUCAGUUCAAAGACAAAAGAAUUCUAUCACAGAGGCUCACGCUUGACUUCAUCCUUUCUAUUAAGUAAAUCGAACACUCUGACAGCACACCUAGCUGUGGAUGUCAAGUCACAUUUACCAACAUCUAAAUCAAAGGCUGGCCCAGGCAAGUCUUGGGCAUACAAGCUUUAAAAGAGGUGACCUCAACCUCUUAAAUGCUGCUUUUGGCUUCAUAUUCUCUAAAAAUGCAUAAUCAGAGUAGUAGGUAGGGGAGAGAAAGAAUCCAACACCCAGAUAUAAUAAAUGGGUUUCCUUUCAUUUUUCCUGAUUCUUUUUAUCUCAUUAAACUCCAAAUUCACCCAAGCCACCCCUUCAUGUUGCAUUCCAUGAAGUCAUGUCUGGUUAUUGAAUCCCAGAAGGACCUUAAUAUUUUAACUGGGUGAGGGGAUUCAGUAACAAGAAUUCUGUAAAAAGAUUCUGUGUUGCUUCCUGGGGCCCCAUUUUGAUGGCCAAGUGGGCUGAGCUUGAAGCACCUGGAGAAGCUGGGGGCCAAGUGGUAAGGGGCCUCAUCAGAGAUCAGAUCUCUGACUUCUGGCAUGUUCUUUGAAACAUGACUGGAAAAGUCAGCCAACUCUGCUG